Molecule: non-coding RNA, 117 nt
Filed under: Pan troglodytes (chimpanzee)
Lineage: Eukaryota; Metazoa; Chordata; Mammalia; Primates; Hominidae
Source: Rfam by way of RNAcentral
GCCGGGCGUGGUGGCUCACGCCUGUAAUCCCAGCAUUUUGGGAGGCCGAGAUGGGCGGAUCUCCUGAGGUUGGGAAUUCGAGACCAGCCUGACCAACAUGGAGAAACCCCGUCUCUA